This 828-nucleotide ribosomal RNA is filed under the name Heterotruncatella constricta. RNAcentral describes it as "partial 28S ribosomal RNA". It matches the Rfam family "Eukaryotic large subunit ribosomal RNA", at positions 69 to 922 of the family's 3401-position model. Lineage: Eukaryota; Fungi; Ascomycota; Sordariomycetes; Amphisphaeriales; Sporocadaceae. The record is from RNAcentral.
CAGGGAUUGCCUUAGUAACGGCGAGUGAAGCGGCAAUAGCUCAAAUUUGAAAUCUGGCGCUUGCGUCCGAGUUGUAAUUUGUAGAGGAUGAUUUUGGUUAGGUACCUUUCGAGUUCCUUGGAACAGGACGCCUUAGAGGGUGAGAGCCCCGUACGAUUGGAUGCCGAGCCUCUGUAAAUCUCCUUCGACGAGUCGAGUAGUUUGGGAAUGCUGCUCUAAAUGGGAGGUAAAUUUCUUCUAAAGCUAAAUACCGGCCAGAGACCGAUAGCGCACAAGUAGAGUGAUCGAAAGAUGAAAAGCACUUUGAAAAGAGGGUUAAAUAGCACGUGAAAUUGUUGAAAGGGAAGGAUUUAUGACCAGACUUUUUCUAGGAGGAUCAUCCGGUGUUCUCACCGGUGCACUUCUUCUAGUUUAGGCCAGCAUCGACUUUCGGCGGCGGAUAAAAGCUUCGGGAAUGUGGCUCUCCUCGGAGAGUGUUAUAGCCUGUUGUAUAAUACGCUGCUGGGGGUCGAGGUACGCGCUUCUGCAAGGAUGCUGGCGUAAUGGUUAUCAAUCACCCGUCUUGAAACACGGACCAAGGAGUCGAACAUUUAUGCGAGUGUUUGGGUGUUAAACCCUCACGCGUAAUGAAAGUGAACGGAGGUGAGAGCCCUUACGGGUGCAUCAUCGACCGAUCCUGAAGUUUUCGGAUGGAUUUGAGUAAGAGCAUAACUGUUCGGACCCGAAAGAUGGUGAACUAUGCGUGGAUAGGGUGAAGCCAGAGGAAACUCUGGUGGAGGCUCGCAGCGGUUCUGACGUGCAAAUCGAUCGUCAAAUCUGCGCAUGGGG